This 51-nucleotide transfer RNA is filed under the name Metacrangonyx sp. 3 ssp. 1 MDMBR-2012. RNAcentral describes it as "transfer RNA Serine". Lineage: Eukaryota; Metazoa; Arthropoda; Malacostraca; Amphipoda; Metacrangonyctidae. The record is from RNAcentral.
AACUACUUAUAAGUGUUUUGAAAACACUAACCAGAUAUAAUCUAGUAGUUU